UGUAAGCAUUGAGUGUACGUUGGCACAAAAUGGAACGUACACAGUCCUGUUUAUCAAACUGGAUAAUACCGAUCAACUCAUCCUCAGCAAAGCGCGCCAGCGCAUCACUCAGACCCGAUUUGACUCCUCGCGGCAAAUCGCAUUGGGUAAUAUCGCCAUUAACAAUGACUGUCACAUUCUCACCCAAACGUGUC
This 194-nucleotide antisense RNA is filed under the name Serratia sp. DD3. Its description in RNAcentral is "Yersinia sRNA 251". It matches the Rfam family "Yersinia sRNA 251". Rfam says of the family: Antisense to phoH gene. Trimmed on 5'end from the original size. The record is from Rfam by way of RNAcentral. Lineage: Bacteria; Pseudomonadati; Pseudomonadota; Gammaproteobacteria; Enterobacterales; Yersiniaceae.